Molecule: ribosomal RNA, 612 nt
Filed under: uncultured bacterium
Lineage: Bacteria
Description: bacterial SSU rRNA
Rfam family: Bacterial small subunit ribosomal RNA (bases 1-519)
Source: RNAcentral
CCUACGGGAGGCAGCAGUGGGGAAUCUUGCGCAAUGGGCGAAAGCCUGACGCAGCCAUGCCGCGUGAAUGAUGAAGGUCUUAGGAUUGUAAAAUUCUUUCACCGGGGACGAUAAUGACGGUACCCGGAGAAGAAGCCCCGGCUAACUUCGUGCCAGCAGCCGCGGUAAUACGAAGGGGGCUAGCGUUGCUCGGAAUUACUGGGCGUAAAGGGAGCGUAGGCGGAUAGUUUAGUCAGAGGUGAAAGCCCAGGGCUCAACCUUGGAAUUGCCUUUGAUACUGGCUAUCUUGAGUGUGGGAGAGGUAUGUGGAACUCCGAGUGUAGAGGUGAAAUUCGUAGAUAUUCGGAAGAACACCAGUGGCGAAGGCGACAUACUGGCCCAUUACUGACGCUGAGGCUCGAAAGCGUGGGGAGCAAACAGGAUUAGAUACCCUGGUAGUCCACGCUGUAAACGAUGAGUGCUAGUUGUCGGCAUGCAUGCAUGUCGGUGACGCGAGCUACGACAUUAAGACACUCCGCCGUCGGGGAGGUACGGUCGCGAAGAAGUUAAACUAACAAUAGUAAGUUAGUACGGCGUGAGACGUGACCGACGGACGACCGACGAGGGAGGAGG